GGCGUCUCGUGUUUCCAGCAGCCGUGUGUCUGGGAUUCUCUUCUCCUGUGGUGUAAUUCGAUCGCGGCUUAAUGCGCGUUCACAGUUCACGUGGGGAGAUCCUUCAACACUCUUAGCGCUAAAACCAAAAAAAAUUUUUCAAAAUCUCGACAGGAACAUCGUUUCAAUUACCUGCGUGAAGAUGAGCUGAAGAUGGCAGAUUUUUACAUCUUGUCCGGUAGUGUACGAACAGGAAGCGUCUACGACCUCUGGGAUUAUUCAGCUCUGCAUCGUCAGUGAUGAACUUCACGGGAGAAGAGGCAAUGGAGCUCUAGGAGGAAGAGCCUCAGCCCGGACGGAGCGGACUGUACGAGCCCUGGUGCGGAAGACGGAGGGAGGAAACAUCGUUUGACCCGCCGUUUGCUGCCGACAAGCUCCACUACACCACAGAGUAGACUACGAGGUUGAAGUCCACAUGCCUGACCAGCAUGAGGAGGAGCAAGAUGGUGGUGAUGAGCAUGAGGUGCCUUUUAGAUGCUCAUCCCCUUUACCAGGCCCAUAUGCUCUGAGAAUCUCACCCUUUUCCUAAGGCAGUCUCCUGUAAGAAGCCCACCCCCUUUGAGAAUCACCCCCCCUUUCAGUUAGCACCUCGUACUCACCACCUCGUCAUAAAAUGUGUAGUAAGUAUCAGUGCUAAGUAUUUUACACCUAGAUUCCAGCAUUAUUAUUAUUAUUAUUAUUAUUAUUAUUAUUAUUAUUGUUGUCAUUGUAUUGUUGUUAUUAUUAUUAUUAUUGUCAUUGUAUUAUUAUUAUUAUUGUCAUUAUUAUUAUUGUUGUUGUUGUUAUUUUAUUUGUGCUAAUUAUUUCACUUGCAGUAGUCUUUUUUUUUAUUAUUUGUGAUGAGUAUUUAACCCCUAGACUCCAGCAUUAUUCUUUUUUUAUUUUAAAUAAUGUAUAAUUUAUAUUAAUUACAUUUAUGUGGAUCUAAUUAGUGCAGACGUAUGGUGUAUUCAUGUAAAUAUGUAUAUAUUACGUUUUUAGGAUUAAGGAAUAACAGACUAAAUUAAUACAUGCCACCCCAACUCCCCCCCCCCCACCCCACCCCCUCCAACUGGUAUAUCUAUAGUGUAUUAAUCCACUUAUACCACAGCAAUUUGCAACCAUGAACAAAACCUCACACAGUUUAAUGGUUUAUAGUUCUGAAAGCGUAUCCGAGACUCCUUCCAUAAAUCUCCUAACCAAAAAAAUGUCACAUUGACGAUUAUAAGCUUUACAUUGCUAAAUCC
This is a long non-coding RNA of Ictalurus punctatus (channel catfish), 1265 nucleotides long. The record is from Ensembl. NCBI's taxonomy places the organism in Eukaryota, Metazoa, Chordata, Actinopteri, Siluriformes, Ictaluridae.